RNAcentral lists this ribosomal RNA (253 nucleotides) under uncultured bacterium. Its description in RNAcentral is "partial 16S ribosomal RNA". It matches the Rfam family "Bacterial small subunit ribosomal RNA", at positions 524 to 776 of the family's 1533-position model. The record is from RNAcentral.
GACAGAGGGUGCAAACGUUGUUCGGAAUUACUGGGCAUAAAGAGCACGUAGGUGGUUCGCUAAGUCACGUGUGAAAUCCCCCGGCUUAACCGGGGAAUUGCGCGUGAUACUGGCGAACUCGAGGCGGGUAGGGGUGAGCGGAACUCCAGGAGGAGCGGUGAAAUGCGUAGAUAUCUGGAGGAACACCGGUGGCGAAAGCGGCUCACUGGACCCGAUCUGACACUGAGGUGCGAAAGCUAGGGUAGCAAACGGG